Non-coding RNA from Tachysurus vachellii, 536 nucleotides. Lineage: Eukaryota; Metazoa; Chordata; Actinopteri; Siluriformes; Bagridae. The record is from the annotation of a RefSeq genome assembly.
CAGCUACCAUGACUUUGAUCCCCGUCUUCAUCUGGACACUGAUCCUCUGGACUCAAGAAUGCAGAGGUCAAGUCACAGUAACUCAGACUCCUGCAGUGAAAUCUGUUCUUCCAGGAGAAACAGUCACCAUCAACUGUAAAACUAAUCCCCAAGUGUAUCAAGGCUGGGGUUUUCAACCUUUAGCUUGGUAUCAGCAGAAACCUGGAGAAGCUCCUAAACUAUUGAUCAUUAAAGCAAACGAGCUACAGUCAGGUUUUCCAGCUCGUUUCAGUGGCAGUGGAUCUGGAUCUGAUUUCACUCUGACCAUCAGUGGAGUCCAGACUGAAGAUGCAGGAGAUUACUACUGUCAGAGUGUCCACUGUCCUAGUAGCUGCGUGUUCACACAGUGUUAUAGAGUCGUACAAAAACCUCCCUCAGUCAGAUUGUAGAGAGACUGAACUGCUGCAGCUGGGAGCGACUGCAGGUGCUGAGUUGGAGGAUGUGAUACGACACAAUGACACUCUGUGGAGGAGAAGAACCACAUCACACUAACUCAC